This 1095-nucleotide long non-coding RNA is filed under the name Equus caballus (horse). Its description in RNAcentral is "lncRNA (ENSECAG00000045646.1)". The record is from RNAcentral. Lineage: Eukaryota; Metazoa; Chordata; Mammalia; Perissodactyla; Equidae.
UGUAAUUAUAAGUAUUCAAGAAAAAUAUUAAAUAAUUUUCUUCUGCAUAUAUCAGCCAUCUUUCAAAACACUAAUAGCAUUAAAUAUUUAGAAACCUGUCGGUGCAAUAUUUGCCAAGUUAUCUUAAGUUAUAACUUUAAAUUUAUACUUUGACUUACUCCAAGAGUUUACUUGUUCCCAUUGCACAUUCUUCCUUGAUGUUCUAACAUGGCGUCAAAGUCAGGCAUGACCAUCGAUGGAAGCAUUUUCUAGCUCUGAGUGUUAGAAUCAGCUCUGAGAAUUAAAGGGAGGCAGAGGUUCCUAGGAUUGCAUUUCCUUCUUGUGCCCCUGACCCAUCCUCCAGGCUGAUUCAUGCCUUUAGAUUGGCUCUAGAGUCUUAAAAACUCAACACAAGAUGUGGUUAACCCACUGUUGUGGACCGAAUGUUCAUGUCCCUCCAAAAUUCAUAUGUUGAAGGCCUAUGAAGAUAGGGCCCUUGGGAGGUAUUUGGGUCUAGAUGAAGUCAUGAGGGUGGGAUCAUCACGAUGGGAAGAGUGCCCUAAUAAGGAGAUAUUAGACAACUUUCUCUCUCUCUUUCUCUCUCCCUCAUGUGAGCGAGAAGGAAGCUAUCCACAACCCAGGAAGAGAGCUCUCACCAAGAACCGAAUCUGCUAGCACUUUGGACUUCCCAGCCUUCAGAACGAAUUAUUAGAAAAUCCAUGCAGUAUUUGGAAAGAACUUCCAGCAGGCCCUGUCCCUGAGAUGGCUGUCGGGAGUGGAUGUCUAAGAGCUCGACUUCUGGGGGUUGGGGGGCGUGGAGUCAAAUAAAGCUCUCCUUCCAUGAGGUUGGGGAACUUGGAUUUGGGAAUUGGAGAGGAAGAAACUCCAGCUUCCCUCUGAGGACAGCACAGCGUGAUAAAGUAGAGGCCACAGAGAAAACACGCUGAAUAAAGAGCGUUCAACUGAGGCAACCCGAGAUGCUGAAGCCUUUCCUGGGUGCUUCAAAUCCCCGGCAAAGAUGAUUUGUAGGUCCUAGUGUGGAAAACGGUGAAGAACCUGAAUUCAAUGUCCUGGGUGAUUUGGAGGGCUGCCAAGGGCUGAGACAUGGAACCCGAG